AAUCAUCAAUUGAGACUUAUUUUUUGAUCACAUAGGAAAACAAGGAUUCCACACACUCUGAAAUGAUGUAACACUAAUCGUUUGACAAUCCUGCUUCUUUUCAUUAAAUUUUUUACGGUAUGCUUCUUUUCUUUUCAAUUUUACAAGUGUACCAUUUUUUUUGUGGUGUAUGCUUUUUUUGUUACAAUAUUCUCUUUGCUUGUACUUUUCUUAUUAUUAGUUCAAUAUUUUUUGUUUUCUUUUUUUACAAAUUUGAACAAUAGGUUAAUUUAAUAAUUUAAUUUGUAAUGAUUUUGUUGAAGAAACAAACAGAUUUUUAGUAAUGGAUGUCAAUGUUUUUGAAGAGAUUCCAUGUAAUAUGCAAGUAGAAGUGGAAAAAAAAAAGAGAGAAUCUUGUUUUGACAAUUAAUGAUUAUAAUUAAUUCAUUCUCUUCAAUUUGAAGAAUGUUUUGAUAAUGUUCAUUUUCCAGUGUGAUAAAAAAAUAAGUCUCACCCAACUAAUUAUUAUGAAUCAAUCUUAGCCAUUAAUUGAAAUUAAAAACAAAGGUCAUGAUUUGGAGUAGCUUUUAUAACUUACUCUUGGAGUCAAUAUAACCCU
This 598-nucleotide long non-coding RNA is filed under the name Trifolium pratense (red clover). RNAcentral describes it as "long non-coding RNA (TPRA_LNC008864)". The record is from RNAcentral. Lineage: Eukaryota; Viridiplantae; Streptophyta; Magnoliopsida; Fabales; Fabaceae.